UUUCCGUAGGUGAACCUGCGGAAGGAUCAUUAUUGUGUAACCGAGGUGCGAGGGCUGUCGCUGACCCGAAAGGUCGUGCACGCCCGAGUGCCCUCACACGCAUCCAUCUCACCCCUAUGUGCACCACCGCGUGGGUCCCCCUUUGGCUUGUUCGGAGGGGGGCUUACGUUUUCACACAAACUUUGUAUGCAGUGUAGAAUGUAUUUUUUGUUUUUGCGAUCACGCAAUCAAUACAACUUUCAACAACGGAUCUCUUGGCUCUC
This 263-nucleotide unclassified non-coding RNA is filed under the name plant metagenome. Its description in RNAcentral is "partial contains small subunit ribosomal RNA, internal transcribed spacer 1, and 5.8S ribosomal RNA". The record is from RNAcentral.